GGACUACCGGGGUAUCUAAUCCCGUUUGCUCCCCUAGCUUUCGCGCCUCAGCGUCAGUAUCGGGCCAGAUAGGCGCCUUCGCCACCGGUGUUCCUCCUGAUAUCUACGCAUUUCACCGCUACACCAGGAAUUCCCCUAUCCUCUCCCGUACUCAAGCCAAGCAGUUUGGGAUGCAGAUCCCCGGGUGAGCCGGGGGCUUUCACAUUCCACUUACUUGACCGCCUACACGCCCUUUACGCCCAGUGAUUCCGAACAACGCUUGCUCCCCCCGUGUUACCGCGGCUGCUGGCAC
This 292-nucleotide ribosomal RNA is filed under the name uncultured bacterium. Its description in RNAcentral is "partial 16S ribosomal RNA". The record is from RNAcentral.